RNAcentral lists this ribosomal RNA (332 nucleotides) under uncultured Gemmatimonas sp. Its description in RNAcentral is "bacterial SSU rRNA". It matches the Rfam family "Bacterial small subunit ribosomal RNA", at positions 568 to 898 of the family's 1533-position model. The record is from RNAcentral. Lineage: Bacteria; Pseudomonadati; Gemmatimonadota; Gemmatimonadia; Gemmatimonadales; Gemmatimonadaceae.
CGCGUAGGCGGCCUGAUAAGUCGGGGGUGAAAUUCAGCGGCUCAACCGCUGGACUGCCUUCGAGACUGUCGGGCUCGAGCACGGUAGAGGCUGGUGGAAUUCCCGGUGUAGCGGUGGAAUGCGUAGAGAUCGGGAAGAACAUCGGUGGCGAAGGCGGCCAGCUGGGCCGUUGCUGACGCUGAGGCGCGACAGCGUGGGGAGCAAACAGGAUUAGAUACCCUGGUAGUCCACGCCGUAAACGAUGGGCACUAGGCGCCGGGGGGAGCGACCCCUUCGGUGCCGUCGUUAACACAGUAAGUGCCCCGCCUGGGGAGUACGGCCGCAAGGCUGAA